UCCAUUGGUGGGCAUGGAAUGCUGUUCUCCUUUUGGAAGCAAUGGAAUAUUAUUGGGAGACUUGAGAAUCUCCUCUCCCUCUCCCUCUCUCUCUCUCUUUCUUUGAAUAAUGAACUUCUUGCCUCUCUUCUCUACUCUCUCUCUCUCUCUCUCUCUCUCCCUUUAUGUGAGGAAUAAAGAGCGUAGGCAUGCUGUUGUUGCAGGCUCAUCAGCUUAUUUGACGGAAGCUCCAACUCCAACUGGUUUUAUACGUCUCAAAGCUCUUCUUCCAUAUUCCUGUGCCAACAUGAAGAGACCAAACAGGUACAAUAUGCAAAGAUGAAGCUUUUCUAGAAUUGAAAACAAGAAACAUGGACUGCUUCCUCCAUCGGCAUCGGUUCUUCUACGUGACAUCCAUGUGACUAGGCACCCUGAAUUAGAACAGCGUGUGUCAGCAGAGGAUAUUUGAUUCCAUAGAAAUGCACAAACAUACAAGAAAGAGGAAAAGAUCCUCAGUAAUCCUUACCAGAGGUUUCCUUGGUCAAAUUUGUCCAAUCAUGCGGGCUAAUCUUUGUUUCUGAUGCAUUAAUCAACUCAAGAAGAGCUUGAUUGACCUAAAAUUUUAUUUUAAAAUUUACAAAAAUUCAGCUUCACAAA
Long non-coding RNA from Vitis vinifera (wine grape), 636 nucleotides. RefSeq lists it as uncharacterized. The record is from RefSeq and is a predicted model, not a curated record. NCBI's taxonomy places the organism in Eukaryota, Viridiplantae, Streptophyta, Magnoliopsida, Vitales, Vitaceae. The transcript is spliced from 2 exons.